This 514-nucleotide ribosomal RNA is filed under the name uncultured bacterium. Its description in RNAcentral is "partial 16S ribosomal RNA". It matches the Rfam family "Bacterial small subunit ribosomal RNA", at positions 28 to 523 of the family's 1533-position model. The record is from RNAcentral.
GACGAACGCUGGCGGCAUGCCUAAUACAUGCAAGUCGAGCGAACAGAUGAGAAGCUUGCUUCUCUGAUGUUAGCGGCGGACGGGUGAGUAACACGUGGGUAACCUACCUAUAAGACUGGGAUAACUCCGGGAAACCGGGGCUAAUACCGGAUAAUAUUUUGAACCGCAUGGUUCGAUAGUGAAAGACGGUUUCGGCUGUCACUUAUAGAUGGACCCGCGCCGUAUUAGCUAGUUGGUAAGGUAGCGGCUUACCAAGGCGACGAUACGUAGCCGACCUGGGAGGGUGAUCGGCCACACUGGAACUGAGACACGGUCCAGACUCCUACGGGAGGCAGCAGUAGGGAAUCUUCCGCAAUGGGCGAAAGCCUGACGGAGCAACGCCGCGUGAGUGAUGAAGGUCUUCGGAUCGUAAAACUCUGUUGUUAGGGAAGAACAAAUUUGUUAGUAACUGAACAAGUCUUGACGGUACCUAACCAGAAAGCCACGGCUAACUACGUGCCAGCCGCCGCCGUAA